AUAGUUCGCAUAGUGGCCUAUUGCGCCCGGUUGAUACCCGGGUUGGGUUAAUCGCCCUCAGGGGUUCGAAUCCCCUACUAUCCG
This 84-nucleotide transfer RNA is filed under the name Arthrobacter sp. zg-Y1171. RNAcentral's name for it is "tRNA-Ile". It matches the Rfam family "tRNA". From Rfam's summary of the family: Transfer RNA (tRNA) molecules are approximately 80 nucleotides in length. Lineage: Bacteria; Bacillati; Actinomycetota; Actinomycetes; Micrococcales; Micrococcaceae. The record is from RNAcentral.